RNAcentral lists this ribosomal RNA (425 nucleotides) under uncultured bacterium. RNAcentral describes it as "bacterial SSU rRNA". It matches the Rfam family "Bacterial small subunit ribosomal RNA", at positions 356 to 773 of the family's 1533-position model. The record is from RNAcentral.
GGGGAAUUUUGGACAAUGGGCGAAAGCCUGAUCCAGCCAUGCCGCGUGUAUGAAGAAGGCCUUCGGGUUGUAAAGUACUUUUGUUAGGGAAGAAAAGCUUAUUGCUAAUAUCAGUGAGCCAUGACGGUACCUAAAGAAUAAGCACCGGCUAACUACGUGCCAGCAGCCGCGGUAAUACGUAGGGUGCAAGCGUUAAUCGGAAUUACUGGGCGUAAAGCGAGCGCAGGCGGUUAUUUAAGUCAGGUGUGAAAGCCCCGAGCUCAACUUGGGACGUGCAUUUGAAACUGGGUAACUAGAGUGUGUCAGAGGGGGGUAGAAUUCCACGUGUAGCAGUGAAAUGCGUAGAGAUGUGGAGGAAUACCGAUGGCGAAGGCAGCCCCCUGGGAUAACACUGACGCUCAUGCUCGAAAGCGUGGGUAGCAAAC